Molecule: non-coding RNA, 75 nt
Organism: Sanguibacter keddieii DSM 10542
Lineage: Bacteria; Bacillati; Actinomycetota; Actinomycetes; Micrococcales; Sanguibacteraceae
Source: Rfam
UCCGGUCCUCGGUAGUGGCUCACGGACCCGCGCACGCGCGCGAGGAACGUCCGUGGACCUCGAUCGAAGACCGCC